This 2154-nucleotide long non-coding RNA is filed under the name Brassica napus (rape). RNAcentral describes it as "long non-coding RNA (BNAP_LNC010435)". Lineage: Eukaryota; Viridiplantae; Streptophyta; Magnoliopsida; Brassicales; Brassicaceae. The record is from RNAcentral.
UGAUGAAGACUAUUUGUUGGCAUAGUUGCUACCUAACAAAUUUUUAUAACAUUUAUGAUUUGAUUUAUCUCUAAAUAAUAAGAUCAAACUUUCCGUUGAAACACACGAACGGAUGGCCAAAGCUACCGGUCAAUUCUUGCAUUUCUUUUAACCUAAUUUCUUAUUUAAUAUUACAAAUCCUCAAGAAUCAAGACAUAUCCAUCAAUAUAUCAUAUCAUUUAAAAAAAAAACUGAAAUAUCCUUAACAAAAACAACAAGAAGAGACAUUGAAUAAUAAGGUUCAAAUCUUCAAGAAGAGUGGCAUGAGUCUGCAUCUUCAUAUCGGUACGCAAUGCUCAUCCAUUUUGUUUGUUAUUUUAUUUUGAUUAUUGACAUAGUUGCAUGUACUAGAUGUGACUGUGUAUAUGCAGAUGAGAAUGUAUAUGUUUCAUGCAUGUUAUGUAUCUGAUGCAUAUACGGAUAUACUCGGUUUAUUUGUCAGUUAUAAUGUUCUUCGUUGAAAUCUUGUUCUUGAGUUUUCUAGUCACAACUUCAUAACUUUUUUUCGUUUAAUGGUACAACGAGAGAUCUAGGAGAUAAAUCCAGUAUCCAAUCUACAAAUGACUAUAUCUAGCAAUAAAUCAAAAGAUCUUUAAAAAUGCAGCUUAUAAUAAGAAAUUAUUCAAUAAGAUAUCAUUGUUUCUUGGUCUAGAUCGUUUGGUUAUGCCAGAGGAUUUCAGUUAUACAGUUAUUUAAUUUUGCUGCUGUGAUGUGGACCGAAGGGUCAAAGAGAAGAUCACUCGCAUGCGAAGUUCGCUUAGGUCAACUUAUGUAAACGUCAAUUAAUCUAACGCUUGUAACGAUUGGAUGUAGUGGUAUUAUAUUAAGCUUAGUCUAUAUUCUAGUUUCGUAGGCUUUAGUAGGUUAGUAAACGCCACUUAGGCCCAAUACGGAUUAUGUGGGCCUACUUUUGCUUACGCUAGUCUCCUGGCGUUUUUGUGAAUCCGUAAAUGAGGAAACGUGUAAAGGCUCAGUGUGUAAACGGCAUGGUGUUCGUUUCGAUUUAACGGAAUGAUAACGCAUGGACCACCAGUCACCAACGAGAUAAUGAAGAAGUAGACAUAAACAGUGAAUCUGCAUAAUAAAAUGCAUUGCAUUACGCAUAUAUGUGCAUUUUAGUUACAUGAAAAUAUAAUCACCAAUUAACACUAGUCUAGAAAGUAGAAACAUAUAUAAAGCUAAAUGCGAAUUACAUAAUCUAUGAAUUCAACUUAUUACACAAACCAAGCCAUAUAUAUACAUGAGAAUUCAUCUUUUUUUAAGUGAAUUUAUCUAUACAUGCAACUACAUACAUUCGUGUGAUUGAAAUGUCUGUAUAUACGUACAUCUUACUAUCUUAGUAACAUAAAAUUAUAUAUAAUCAUCAAUCAAAACACUGGACUAGAAAGUAGAAACAUAUAUAGAGAUAUAUGUGAUAAUGUAAAGCACUUAAGAAAUGAGAGUAUUCAACUUAUUAUACAACCCAUAUGACUUCAUCUAUACAUGCAAGUACAUACACGUGAUUAACAAAAUUAAGAAUGGCAAGGUUUGAGUUUUGAUUCAAAUUUAGAAUUACAUGAAAGUGGAGUGCAUCCUCUUUGUAUGUAAACUUUUCCCGAAUAGGGUUAAGUAGCCUUUUAGAUACGUUAUACAAACGGAUGCAAUUAUUAUGGAGAUUAAACAAAUAAAAUAUCUUCUAUCAUAAUUUUGUUUUCACAUUGCACUUGAUUAAAAACUAAACAAGAAUCAAAACUCAAACCUUGCUGCAAAACAACUUAGCACACAUAUAUAUAUACCGACUUAUAUGAGUAUGUUUACACAUGAGGUAUAUAUUUAUUUUGUAAUCACACAGAUCGCCACAAAACAACUUAGCACACAUAUAUAUAUACCGACCUUUGAAAUCACAUGACUACACACUUCUUGAAGCAUGGUAGAUAUAGAAGACAUCACGACCGAUCAAAUCAUAUAUCUUCUAAUCUCUGGCCAUGUUCUAAGCUAGACGACGUUCCAGCAAUCGCACCAGUACAAUCUUGCGUCCGUAACGGCUGGGACAAUGGAAUAUUACUAUCAAAAGGAUCAUCAUUGAUAAGCGCAUUUAGAAACGAAGAAAACUUAUCAUCGUAACAGAAACCAAAG